GUGAAUCAUCGAAUCUUUGAACGCAAAUUGCACUCUCCUCGGAGAGUAUGCCUGUUUGAGGGUCAGCCUAUAAAAAAUUAACAUCGUUGCUGUUUCGCGGUGGCGUCCGUUGGAAAUUGGGUCAUCUUAAAUCCUUUUGAUUUAAGCGAUCUAAUAUUUUCUAUUUGUUUCCAUGAACGUUU
RNAcentral lists this unclassified non-coding RNA (182 nucleotides) under Glomus sp. RNAcentral's name for it is "partial contains 5.8S ribosomal RNA and internal transcribed spacer 2". The stretch from base 1 to 65 matches the Rfam family "5.8S ribosomal RNA", at positions 84 to 154 of the family's 154-position model. Lineage: Eukaryota; Fungi; Glomeromycota; Glomeromycetes; Glomerales; Glomeraceae. The record is from RNAcentral.